This 21-nucleotide microRNA is filed under the name Callorhinchus milii (elephant shark). Its description in RNAcentral is "Cmi-Mir-34-P3d_3p (mature (co-guide))". The record is from RNAcentral. Lineage: Eukaryota; Metazoa; Chordata; Chondrichthyes; Chimaeriformes; Callorhinchidae.
GCAGCUACAAGCACUACCACA